GAUGAACGCUGGCGGCGUGCCUAAUACAUGCAAGUCGAGCGAACAGAUGAGGAGCUUGCUCCUCUGACGUUAGCGGCGGACGGGUGAGUAACACGUGGAUAACCUACCUAUAAGACUGGGAUAACUUCGGGAAACCGGAGCUAAUACCGGAUAAUAUAUUGAACCGCAUGGUUCAAUAGUGAAAGACGGUUUUGCUGUCACUUAUAGAUGGAUCCGCGCCGCAUUAGCUAGUUGGUAAGGUAACGGCUUACCAAGGCAACGAUGCGUAGCCGACCUGAGAGGGUGAUAGGCCACACUGGAACUGAGACACGGUCCAGACUCCUAAGGGAGGCAGCAGUAGGGAAUCUUACGCAAUGGGCGAAAGCCUGACGGAGCAACGCCGCGUGAGUGAUGAAGGUCUUCGGAUCGUAAAACUCUGUUAUUAGGGAAGAACAAAUGUGUAAGUAACUAUGCACGGCUUGACGGUACCUAAUCAGAAAGCCACGGCUAACUACGUG
This 497-nucleotide ribosomal RNA is filed under the name uncultured bacterium. RNAcentral's name for it is "partial 16S ribosomal RNA". It matches the Rfam family "Bacterial small subunit ribosomal RNA", at positions 28 to 507 of the family's 1533-position model. The record is from RNAcentral.